UACGAAGGGGGGCUAGCGUUGCUCGGAAUCACUGGGCGUAAAGGGUGCGUAGGCGGGUCUUUAAGUCAGGGGUGAAAUCCUGGAGCUCAACUCCAGAACUGCCUUUGAUACUGAGGAUCUUGAGUUCGGGAGAGGUGAGUGGAACUGCGAGUGUAGAGGUGAAAUUCGUAGAUAUUCGGAGGAACACCAGAAGCGAAGGCGGCUCACUGGCCCGAUACUGACGCUGAGGCACGAAAGCGUGGGGAGCAAACAGG
RNAcentral lists this ribosomal RNA (254 nucleotides) under uncultured bacterium. RNAcentral's name for it is "partial 16S ribosomal RNA". It matches the Rfam family "Bacterial small subunit ribosomal RNA", at positions 524 to 776 of the family's 1533-position model. The record is from RNAcentral.